UGGGAACAUUGCCACUUCAAAGAGAUUCUA
RNAcentral lists this non-coding RNA (30 nucleotides) under Rattus norvegicus (Norway rat). Lineage: Eukaryota; Metazoa; Chordata; Mammalia; Rodentia; Muridae. The record is from RNAcentral.